This 352-nucleotide long non-coding RNA is filed under the name Cyanistes caeruleus (blue tit). Its description in RNAcentral is "lncRNA (ENSCCEG00000002333.1)". The record is from RNAcentral. Lineage: Eukaryota; Metazoa; Chordata; Aves; Passeriformes; Paridae.
CUUCUGCUGUGCAAGGGUCCCCAGCUGCAGGCGUGUGCAUGUGUGAGCUGAGCAGAGUGGUGGAUGUCACACGCCCUGGCUCUGUCCCCAGGACAUUGGACCUUCCCCACUGAAAUGAGCUUUGAAUACAAGGGAAGUCUCUGACACAACAGAAAGGAGAAGCCACAGUGAUCACCCAGGGUGUUUCAGUGCGCCGCUCAGUCACCUAGACUCUGCUUCACCCCUUGAUUCUCCAUUUGUGCUUGAAGAGAGGAUUCCAGACAAAAUCCUAGUGAGAGCCAAGCAGUCAUUUUUGCAGUUGUGGGACUUCGAACUUCUGUGAAAAAUAAAUUUAAAAAUACCAUCCUUCUCA